Long non-coding RNA from Drosophila miranda, 627 nucleotides. RefSeq lists it as uncharacterized. Lineage: Eukaryota; Metazoa; Arthropoda; Insecta; Diptera; Drosophilidae. The record is from RefSeq and is a predicted model, not a curated record. The transcript is spliced from 2 exons.
AUAGCAGCCUAUCGCAAUGGGAGAAGAGCUAAAAUAACUAAAAAUCUAAGUAAAUACACUGCGUUUAAAUUUUCAGAGUCCGUUUUGUGUGUCGCCAUCUUGAAUCGCAGCCGCAUUUCUAGAACAAUUGUGUGAGGAAAUAAAACUAAAAAAGAAUAGUCUCCACAAAAAGCGUUGAGACACGCACACGCAUCACAGUUCAAAAAUCAGAAAGCGGCUUUUGUCAGGCUCAAGACAGCGACUCCUUUGAGCCUUUGCUGAUUGCUGUUGCUGAUUUGCAGGAUCAACCUGGAGGAUGUGAACUCGGACUUGGCCUUUUUUCUCAGCAAGAACGAGGAGCCCGGCCACCGCUCCAAUUACAACCAUUACGUGUUGCCGCAGCCCAUCUGGAUUGUGGACAAGAUUCGCUUUGUCUCCAGAGAAUCCAGAGCAGCACAAGUAAUCUAGAUGCCUACGGAAUUUCGGAAUUAAAAAAAUUAAGCUUGUUUGACUCAUGUGCCGACUAUCACGGUCUUAAUACUGCGAGUGUACUCUAAAUUUUUGUUUCCAUUUUUAAGUUUUUUGCGCAAAGGUUAAAUCAACUAUCAACAUUAUCAUAUAAACGCAUUUCAUAAGCUGAUCUGAUCA